GAUGAACGCUGGCGGCGUGCCUAAUACAUGCAAGUCGAGCGAACGGACGAGAAGCUUGCUUCUCUGAUGUUAGCGGCGGACGGGUGAGUAACACGUGGAUAACCUACCUAUAAGACUGGGAUAACUUCGGGAAACCGGAGCUAAUACCGGAUGAUAUUUUGAACCGCAUGGUUCAAAAGUGAAAGACGGUCUUGCUGUCACUUAUAGAUGGAUCCGCGCUGCAUUAGCUAGUUGGUAAGGUAACGGCUUACCAAGGCAACGAUGCAUAGCCGACCUGAGAGGGUGAUCGGCCACACGAGAGCUGAGACACGGUCCAGACUACUGCGGGAGGCAGCAGUAGGGAAUCUUCCGCAAUGGGCGAGAGCCUGACGGAGCAACGCCGCGUGAGUGAUGGAGGUCUCCGGAUCGUAAAACUCUGUUAUUAGGGAAGAACAUAUGUGUAAGUAACUGUGCACAUCUUGACGGUACCUAAUCAGAAAGCCACGGCUAACUACGUG
This 497-nucleotide ribosomal RNA is filed under the name uncultured bacterium. RNAcentral describes it as "partial 16S ribosomal RNA". It matches the Rfam family "Bacterial small subunit ribosomal RNA", at positions 28 to 507 of the family's 1533-position model. The record is from RNAcentral.